AUUAAAGCUGUCUCUUUUCCUACUAUAUAAAUUGUCUUACAGGUGCAGAGACUUGUAUAUUAAUGAAAGACAAAAAGACCCUAUUGAGCUUUAUUUUUAUUGGGUUUAAGUGAAAAAUUUAUUUUAUGACCGUAAAGAAUUUGGUUGGGGCGACAUAGAAAUAUAUAAAUCUUUCUUUUAAUUUAAGAAUUUUAGUUCUUUUUAAGGAUCUAUAUAAUAGAAAGCAGAAUUAGUUACCAUAGGGAUAACAGGCUAAUUCUUUUGGAGAGUUCAUAUUGAUAAAAGAGUUUGGCACCUCGAUGUUGGCUUAAGAUAUCCUAUAGGUGUAGCAGUUUAUAAGGGUUGGUUUGUUCAACCAUUAAAAUCUU
Molecule: ribosomal RNA, 368 nt
Filed under: Eumida bahusiensis
Lineage: Eukaryota; Metazoa; Annelida; Polychaeta; Phyllodocida; Phyllodocidae
Description: partial large subunit ribosomal RNA
Rfam family: Bacterial large subunit ribosomal RNA (bases 244-368)
Source: RNAcentral